GACAUAUUAUGGACCUGCAGUAAGACACAGAGACAUGGAGGAGACAUAUUAUAGAUCUGCAGUAAGACACAGAGACAUGGAGGAGAGGAGACAUAAACAAAACUAACCUUGGUUUUGUUUGUUAUCUUGAGGACAGACAGAGAGAGAGAGGUGUAAAACAGAAAGGGUCUUGGGUAAAGGAGAGAAACACGUCUCCAUCACUUUCAUUUGGUGCAGUUGAGUUGGACUUAUCUGGACUGAGGGAGUUGAGUUGGACUUAUCUGGACUGAGGGAGUUGAGUUGGACUUAUCUGGACUGAGGGAGUUGAGUUGGACUUAUCUGACUGAGGGAGUUGAGUUGGACUUAUCUGGACUGAGGGAGUUGAGUUGGACUUAUCUGGACUGAGGUAGUUGAGUUGUACUUAUCUGGACUGAGGUAGUUGAGUUGUACUUAUCUGGACUGAGGUAGUUGAGUUGGACUUAUCUGGACUGAGGUAGUUGAGUUGGACUUAUCUGGACUGAGGGAGUUGAGUUGGACUUAUCUGGACUGAGGGAGUUGAGUUGGACUUAUCUGGACUGAGGUAGUUGAGUUGUACUUAUCUGGACUGAGGUAGUUGAGUUGGACUUAUCUGGACUGAGGGAGUUGAGUUGGACUUAUCUGGACUGAGGGAGUUGAGUUGGACUUAUCUGGACUGAGGGAGUUGAGUUGGACUUAUCUGGACUGAGGGAGUUGAGUUGGACUUAUCUGGACUGAGGAAGUUGAGUUGGACUUAUCUGGACUGAGGGAGUUGAGUUGGACUUAUCUGGACUGAGGGAGUUGAGUUGGACUUAUCUGGACUGAGGGAGUUGAGUUGGACUUAUCUGGACUGAGGAAGUUGAGUUGGACUUAUCUGGACUGAGGGAGUUGAGUUGGACUUAUCUGGACUGAGGGAGUUGAUUUGGACUUAUCUGGACUGAGGUAGUUGAGUUGUACUUAUCUGGACUGAGGUAGUUGAGUUGGACUUAUCUGGACUGAGGUAGUUGAGUUGGACUUAUCUGGACUGAGGAAGUUGGACUUAUCUGGACUGAGGAAGUUGAGUUGGACUUAUCUGGACUGAGGAAGUUGAGUUGGACUUAUCUGGACUGAGGAAGUUGAGUUGGACUUAUCUGGACUGAGGAAGUUGGACUUAUCUGGCCUGAGGAAGUUGGGACUUAUCUGGCCUGAGGAAGUUGGGACUUAUCUGGCCUGAGGAAGUUGGACUUAUCUGGCCUGAGGAAGUUGGGACUUAUCUGGCCUGAGGAAGUUGGGACUUAUCUGGCCUGAGGAAGUUGGACUUAUCUGGCCUGAGGAAGUUGGACUUAUCUGGCCUGAGGAAGUUGGACUUAUCUGGCCUGAAGAAGUUGAGUUGGACUUAUCUGGACUGAGGAAGUUGAGUUGGACUUAUCUGGACUGAGAAAGUUGAGUUGGACUUAUCUGGCCUGAGGAAGUUGGACUUAUCUGGCCUGAGGACGUUGAACUUAUCUGGCCUGAGGAAGUUGAGGGUGAUCAGAUGGAUAAAUGGUUGGACUGGAUAGCCUGGUUUCCCAUCUGGGAACAAGAAGGGUCUUAAAAGCAGGAAUAAUAACAGGAACAAUAACAGGAAUACUGGGAUAUGGGCUCUCGUUAUUCCGACAGCUGACAGAAUGUGAUUAGAUCCCAAAUGGCCCCCUGAUAUCCAUCCUGGUAGAGGAGUAUCCCAUUGAAAGGUAACUAACCACUCACUCAGCUCUGACAGUUGGACUCUUCCUUCAUUCAGUCCACUUGUUUUUGUUAGUUGACACAAUAGCGCGACCUCAUGUUGACACCAUGUCCACGUUGGACCAUAGAUAGGAUCAACAACAACAACAACAACAACAACGAGACAACCUGACGUCAGCCAUUCCACCUAUCAGCUUGGCCCUGACACGACUCCCUGCUCCUCCUGUGUGACAUGCCAAGGGUCACUGUGGAGACCUUGAACUACACCAAGAGAAGAUUUAUCUGGUCACCGGCAGACAGACAGACAGACAGUGCCUGUCAAGCAUUUCACUUGGGCUGUAAUGUGGUGAACUGAGAGAGAUGGAGAGAGAGACAGACUAUGAAGACAGAGAGAGACAGAGAGACUAUGAAGACAGAGAGAGAGACAGACAGACAGAGUGACAGAGAGACUAUGAAGACAGAGAGAGAGACAGACUAUGAAGACAGAGAGAGAGAGACAGACUAUGAAGACAGAGAGAGACAGAGAGACUAUGCAGACAGAGAGAGAGUGACAGACUAUGAAGACAGAGACAGACAGAGAGAGAGAGACAGUCUUCCAUAGAGAGCCUUAGCUACAGAGUGAGGGACAAUAUAACAGCCCCAGUCCGUCCUACCAGCCAUUUCCUGUUCUAUCCAGUUAACCAUUAUCUCUGACAAUCCUUCUACACACCAGAUAAUGGCUGGGUCCCCAAUGGUGCCAUUUGGGAUGCAAUCAAUGUGGGAAUCAUAUCUGACACCAGAUACCAUGUGAUGUAAACAAUAUCUGACACCAGAUACCAUGUGAUGUAAACAACAAUAUCUGACACCAGAUACUAAAUACUAUUUGAUGUAAACAACAAUAUCUGACACCAGAUACUAGAUACCAUGUGAUGUAAAAAACAAUAUCUGACACCAGAUACUAGAUAACAUGUGAUGUAAACAACAAUAUCUGACACCAGAUACCAUGUGAUGUAAACAACAAUAUCUGACACCAGAUACCAUGUGAUGUAAACAACAAUAUCUGAUUUCACACCAGAUACUAGAUACCAUGUAAACAACAAUAUCUGACACCAGAUACUAGAUAUCAUGUGAUGUAAACAACAUUAUCUGACACCAGAUACUAGAUACCAUGUGAUGCAAACAACAAUAUCUGACACCAGAUACUAGAUACCAUGUGAUGUAAACAACAAUAUCCGACACCAGAUACUAGAUACUAUGUGAUGUAAACAACAAUAUCUGACACCAGAUACUAGAUACUAUGUGAUGUAAACAACAAUAUCUGACACCAGAUACUAGAUACUAUGUGAUGUAAACAACAAUAUCUGACACCAGAUACCAUGUGACGUAAACAACGAUUUCUGACACCAGAUACCAUGUGACGUAAACAACAACAUCUGACACCAGAUACCACGUGACGUAAACAACAACAUCUGAUUCUAAACUGGCUCAUGUGUAAACGACAUACACAUUGUUGAACAAUGUCUUCUGACUCAAACGAUGGGAAGGAGUGUUUUGUUUGUUUGUUUGUUUGUUGUGUAAAUAUAUUUUUGGGGGGACAAUGUUCCAAGGUUGAUUUACUUUAACCUCCCUAAAAGGUGGCCUUUUGUGACGUUUUUUUUAAUACUAUAAUAAAAAAAUAAAUGUGAUGAUAUUUGUUUUCUGCGAAACAAAGUGUUUCUCCAUUAACGUUUUGUAUUAUAAUGAUAUAAUAUUCUGAUUUCACGUUGGUUUCAUCUCUAAACCGACCACUUCCAAGACCCCGCUAUUGAUCACAGAAUAAACUCAAGUCUGUUCUGAAGCAUUUUAUUGAGGUUCUUCUUUGUUCCGGCUUUAGGAAACCCAGCAUUGGCAAUUUAAAAAAAAUGAAAACAAAAAUAAAUA
Non-coding RNA from Oncorhynchus mykiss (rainbow trout), 3594 nucleotides. The record is from RefSeq and is a predicted model, not a curated record. Lineage: Eukaryota; Metazoa; Chordata; Actinopteri; Salmoniformes; Salmonidae.